CGGACGGGUGAGUAACACGUGAGCAACCUGCCUUUCAGAGGGGGAUAACAGCCGGAAACGGCUGCUAAUACCGCAUGAUGUUGCGGGGGCACAUGCCCCUGCAACCAAAGGAGCAAUCCGCUGAAAGAUGGGCUCGCGUCCGAUUAGCCAGUUGGCGGGGUAACGGCCCACCAAAGCGACGAUCGGUAGCCGGACUGAGAGGUUGAACGGCCACAUUGGGACUGAGACACGGCCCAG
Molecule: ribosomal RNA, 237 nt
Filed under: uncultured Bacillota bacterium
Lineage: Bacteria; Bacillati; Bacillota
Description: uncultured Firmicutes bacterium partial 16S ribosomal RNA
Rfam family: Bacterial small subunit ribosomal RNA
Source: RNAcentral